Molecule: non-coding RNA, 148 nt
Filed under: Homo sapiens (human)
Lineage: Eukaryota; Metazoa; Chordata; Mammalia; Primates; Hominidae
Source: Rfam by way of RNAcentral
GCCGGGCGUGGUGGCGGGUGCCUGUAAUCCCAGCUACCUGGGAGGCUGAGGCAGAAGAAUCGCUUGAGUCCGGGAGGCGGAGGUUGCAGUGAGCAGAGAUUGUACCACUGCACUCCAGCCUGGGUGACAAAGCAAGACUCUGUCUCGG